UUAACUAUUAUAUAGUACUCAGACGACAUAGAAUUCCAGAGUUUAGGGGUCCUCUGGCGGGCACUUACCAGCAAGAGCCGGUAGCCAAGGCGGCCCGCCAAAGCAACAAAGGUAAGUUAUUCAAGGGUGGGAGGUCUACCCGUGAGGGCAUGAACUCUGUAAUGAUCCUUCCGCAGGUUCACCUACGGAAA
This 191-nucleotide unclassified non-coding RNA is filed under the name uncultured fungus. Its description in RNAcentral is "sequence contains ITS1". Lineage: Eukaryota; Fungi. The record is from RNAcentral.